CAAUCCAAGUGAGCAAAUCAGGGCGCACAAGAGAACUGAGAGUACCAUAACAACAUUUGCAUCGAAAGUGUUAUCGCCAGUGUAAACUUCUGACGGAUCAUGGCUGGUUGCAGGAGCUGGAGGAGCUGCUGCAGUUGGUGAUUGGUAAACGUGGGUAUGCAAUAGCAAUCUUCUUGAGUACAAGUCCCCCAGAAAAUCUUGAAAUAGUUGAGUGGUUGAAGCAGAAGUUGACAUGCUUGGCGAGUUUAGAGAAAUUGGGAAAUUUAAUUAAGGUGGGAGCUUCUUGGCAGUGAUUAGUUAUGGAGACUAUAUAUAGGAAAAGGUAAAGGGUUGAAUUUGCUCCUGGAGCUUUGAUAUAAUAUUUGCAA
RNAcentral lists this unclassified non-coding RNA (368 nucleotides) under Hevea brasiliensis (rubber tree). The record is from RNAcentral. Lineage: Eukaryota; Viridiplantae; Streptophyta; Magnoliopsida; Malpighiales; Euphorbiaceae.